UACGUAGGGAGCAAGCGUUGUCCGGAAUUACUGGGCGUAAAGGGUGCGUAGGCGGCUUGGUAAGUCAGAUGUGAAAUACCCGCGCUUAACAUGGGGGGUGCAUCUGAUACUGUCAGGCUUGAGUGCAGGAGAGGAAAGCGGAAUUCCUAGUGUAGCGGUGAAAUGCAUAGAUAUUAGGAGGAACACCAGUGGCGAAGGCGGCUUUCUGGACUGUAACUGACGCUGAGGCACGAAAGCGUGGGGAGCAAACAGG
This 253-nucleotide ribosomal RNA is filed under the name uncultured bacterium. Its description in RNAcentral is "partial 16S ribosomal RNA". It matches the Rfam family "Bacterial small subunit ribosomal RNA", at positions 524 to 776 of the family's 1533-position model. The record is from RNAcentral.